UACGUAGGGGGCAAGCGUUGUCCGGAAUUAUUGGGCGUAAAGAGCUCGUAGGCGGCCCGCUAAGUCGGAUGUGAAAUCUCACGGCUCAACCGUGAAACUGCAUCCGAUACUGGCGGGCUUGAGGCAGGUAGGGGAAGGUGGAAUUCCUGGUGUAGCGGUGGAAUGCGCAGAUAUCAGGAGGAACACCAGUGGCGAAGGCGGCCUUCUGGGCCUGUUCUGACGCUGAGGAGCGAAAGCGUGGGGAGCAAACAGG
This 253-nucleotide unclassified non-coding RNA is filed under the name Euzebya sp. Its description in RNAcentral is "partial 16S ribosomal RNA". It matches the Rfam family "Bacterial small subunit ribosomal RNA", at positions 524 to 776 of the family's 1533-position model. The record is from RNAcentral. RNAcentral also lists the same sequence under 1 other name. Lineage: Bacteria; Bacillati; Actinomycetota; Nitriliruptoria; Euzebyales; Euzebyaceae.